UUUGUUUUGAUGUCAAAAACUAGAUGACAUCCAGACAUUGAUGCAUUUUUGACCUGCGAAACACAUGACACAAAAAGCAUUAUAACAUUAGGAAUGUUUUAUUCAUCUUUAGAGGACUGGAAUCAGAAACUAUGGGAUUAGAUGACAAUCCUGCUAUUUAUAUUGGGCUUGGAUUUCGAGGCCAAUGUUUGCUCUCAUUUUUAUGUCAUUUUGACAUCAGGGUAGAUAAUUAACAUUAAUUUACAUUUUUUACAUGUUUAUUGAUGUCUUUUUGAUAUCCAGGCGCUUCCGGGGAAAUGCUUGCAAAAAUGCAAACAAAGUAAUGUGCAUUUAUAUAGCCAAAGCACUUCACACUCAUGAUGGGGGUCUCUCCACAUCACCACCAGUGUGCAGCAUCCACUUGGAUGAUGCAACGGCAGCCACAGGACAACGGCACUAGCGUGCUUACCAUCCACCAGCUAUAUAUAGGGGAAGUAGAGAGACAGUGAUACAGCCAAUUCUGUGAAUGUGGAUCAUUAGGAGGUCAUGAUGGAUAAGAGCCAAUGGAGGGAAUAUGGCCAGGUCACCGGGGUUACACCCCUGCUAAUUACAUGAAGUGUCAUGGGAUUUUAAUGACCACAGAGAGUCAGGACCUCAGUUUUAACGACUCAUCUGAAACACGGCGCUCACUGACAGUAUGGUGUCCCCUUCUUUUUACAGGGGCAUUAGAACUCACAAAGACCACAGGUCGAGCAGCCCCCCUGCUGGCCUCACUAACACCACUUCCAACAGCAACCUAGCUUUCCCUUGUGGUUUCCUUUCUAGGUACUGACCAGGCUCAGCCCUGCUCUACUGAAACGUGCAACAAAACAAACCCAGAGCAACAUAUUGCUUGCUUCGCUAAAAUGUAGCAUGAUCCAAUGAGCUUGUGAUGUACAUUUCCCUUUGAUAUCGGGUCAUUGGUUUCUAACACAACUCUAGCUGCCUCUUUAUAAAUCAGACAAAAAAACAUGUUUUAGAACAGAACUUCUGCUUCAUGUUGUUACAACCAACCUCGCCACGCGAGAGCUUGACAUCCAUAACCAAACCCAUCCGGCUGUCCAAAGCGCUCUUUGUCAACUAAUGAGUCUUUCCAGGCUCGGUUCAGUGCACAUCUGUCCAAAAGCAUACGAGCCCUAAUUCUCCCCCUCCCUCUGUCUUUAUGAGCUCGGUGCAGUGCCGGAAUGUGAUUAGUUAUAUGUUGCAUCGGGCUCCGUCUCCAGCUUUGUCACCAGCGAAUUCUAAUCAGCGAGGCAAAUCAGCGCGGAUUGAGCCGAGAUGGAGAGGAAAUAUGAUUUUAAUCAGCAUGCAGCACUCGUGCUCCUGUCUGUCUCAUUCACAACGCAUUCAGAGACGGAGAAACCAUGGAGCAAUCAGCCAGACCUCCGCUGCGUCCUAUCGAGAAGGACGUGCUUUAAUUACCACCAACCACGACUACCUCUCUCUCUGUUUCUCUCCCUCUCUCACUUCCCUAAAAUGAAUAAUUGCAAUAAUGAGCCAUUUUCAUCUAACUCUCCUUCACCAAAAGAUGACAAAAAUUACUCAUCUUGUUAAAAACCCAUAUCUACCGCAACGUGCGUGUGGGAUAAGGGAAUAUGAUGUUGUUCUGUGCGCAGGCUGUGUACUGUAGGCACAUUUGGCCCUAAUGAAUAAUUAGCAGUGUGUUUUAGCUGAGUCACUGCGCUGGAGGGCCUGCACUGGACUCUAAUGGAGGUGUUGCCUCACGUCUUCCAUCACAGGACUGUCCCCAGUGAGCCAAUUGCAUAGCAGCCUGUGUGAGGCACGGUGUGUGUGUGUGUGUGUGCGCGUGUGUGUUAAAAAUAACAGCUCUCCCACUUCAUGACUCAUUCUAUGAGCUCUCUGUCCGACACUCCCAAACAGUGUCUGGAAAGAAACCCUAGAGCCAGCACCUUCAUUUACUGACUGGUCAUUCCUUACUGUCUCUAUGCGGCUGGUCGACAAUGACAAGCGAAGGUGAGAACGACAGAUGGAACACAGAUGCCACCAGUGCGUGCAUGAUUUAGAGAACGGACAAACUGUGGGAGACGAGCAAAACUGCUAAAAUUCAUGAUUUCGGAGCUGUUUACAAAUCUGCAGAGGAGAGUUGUUGAUCCUUGAUGUCAUUUACCAGGCAUGCAUUGCAAAAAAAAAAAAAAAUCUUAAAAAUAUAAUGAAA
Molecule: non-coding RNA, 2194 nt
Organism: Danio rerio (zebrafish)
Lineage: Eukaryota; Metazoa; Chordata; Actinopteri; Cypriniformes; Danionidae
Source: RefSeq, a predicted model, not a curated record